This 433-nucleotide ribosomal RNA is filed under the name uncultured bacterium. RNAcentral's name for it is "partial 16S ribosomal RNA". It matches the Rfam family "Bacterial small subunit ribosomal RNA", at positions 29 to 507 of the family's 1533-position model. The record is from RNAcentral.
AACGAACGCUGGCGGCAUGCCUAACACAUGCAGGUCGAACGAGACCUUCGGGUCUAGUGGCGCACGGGUGCGUAACGCGUGGGAACCUGCCCUUAGGUUCGGAAUAACUCCCCGAAAGGGGUGCUAAUACCGGAUAAUGUCUUCGGACCAAAGAUUUAUCGCCUUUGGAUGGGCCCGCGUUGGAUUAGCUAGUUGGUAGGGUAAAAGCCUACCAAGGCGACGAUCCAUAGCUGGUCUGAGAGGAUGAUCAGCCACACUGGGACUGAGACACGGCCCAGACUCCUACGGAAGGCAGCAGUGGGGAAUAUUGGACAAUGGGCGAAAGCCUGAUCCAGCAAUGCCGCGUGAGUGAUGAAGGCCUUAGGGUUGUAAAGCUCUUUUACCCGGGAUGAUAAUGACAGUACCGGGAGAAUAAGCUCCGGCUAACUCCGUG